Molecule: ribosomal RNA, 460 nt
Filed under: uncultured bacterium
Lineage: Bacteria
Description: partial 16S ribosomal RNA
Rfam family: Bacterial small subunit ribosomal RNA
Source: RNAcentral
CCUACGGGAGGCAGCAGUGAGGAAUAUUGGUCAAUGGGCGCGAGCCUGAACCAGCCAAGUCGCGUGAAGGAUGACUGCCCUAUGGGUUGUAAACUUCUUUUAUAAGGGAAUAAAGUGAGGCACGUGUGCCUUUUUGUCUGUACUUUAUGAAUAAGCAUCGGCUAACUCCGUGCCAGCAGCCGCGGUAAUACGGAGGAUGCGAGCGUUAUCCGGAUUUAUUGGGUUUAAAGGGUGCGUAGGUGGGUUGUUAAAUCAGUGGUGAAAGUUUGCGGCUCAACCGUAAAAUUGCAAUUGAAACUGGCAGACUUGAGUACAGUUGAGGUAGGCGGAAUGCGUGGUGUAGCGGUGAAAUGCUUAGAUAUCACGUAGAACUCCGAUUGCGAAGGCAGCUUACUAAACUGCAACUGACGCUGAUGCACGAAAGCGUGGGGAUCGAACAGGAUUAGAUACCCGAGUAGUC